UAUUGUGUAAGUUAUAUUUUUAAUAAUAUAAAAUGUUAAUUAUUUUAAAUUUUUUUGGCCUUUGUUUAAUUUUUCUUUUAAUAUUGAUUUGCAGAAAUAUGUUGCUGAUUUGAUUGAGAAACCAGGCAAUGAAAAAAUCUUGUCUGAAUUGUGUGUUUGUCUUAAUUAUGGUGUGAAAGAUGUAAAUGGAGUUCAAUCGUUGAAAGAUUGUAAUAUGAUUUUUGCUCCUGUUCUGAUUGAAGACCCGAAGCAUUAUUACCUGUUUGUCAUUAGUAUGAAAGACAAAAGUGUCUAUUUCUUUGAUAAUAUGCUUCUGGAACCAAAAGAGAUGGAACAAAGGAAGAAAGCUUAUUCUGUCUUGUGUUCUUCAUUGGAAAAACUACUGAAAAAUAUGGAUAACAUUCAUCAUGAAGAUAUUAAAAGCUUCAAAUUUAU
This is a long non-coding RNA of Spinacia oleracea (spinach), 435 nucleotides long. RefSeq lists it as uncharacterized. The record is from RefSeq and is a predicted model, not a curated record. NCBI's taxonomy places the organism in Eukaryota, Viridiplantae, Streptophyta, Magnoliopsida, Caryophyllales, Amaranthaceae. The transcript has 3 exons.